Molecule: RNase P RNA, 439 nt
Filed under: Acetobacteraceae bacterium
Lineage: Bacteria; Pseudomonadati; Pseudomonadota; Alphaproteobacteria; Acetobacterales; Acetobacteraceae
Description: RNase P RNA component class A
Rfam family: Bacterial RNase P class A
About the family: Ribonuclease P (RNase P) is a ubiquitous endoribonuclease, found in archaea, bacteria and eukarya as well as chloroplasts and mitochondria.
Source: RNAcentral
UCAGGCGGCCGGGCGACCGCUGGCGGGGUUCCCCGCUGGAGGAAAGUCCGGGCUCCACGGGACAACGGUGCCGGCCAACGGCCGGCGGGCGGAGGGGGCGACCCCGAGGCCCAGGGACAGUGCCACAGAGAACAGACCGCCCCCUCCCCGCGAGGGCGGGGGGCAAGGGUGAAACGGUGGGGUAAGAGCCCACCGCGCUUCCGGCAACGGCGGCGGCACGGCAAACCCCACCGGGAGCAAGGCCGAAUAGGGGCGGCCGGCCUGGGCGGGACAUGGGAAACCAUGGGACGCGCCAGGCGGGGACGGUCCGGUCCCGCCGCCCGGGUUGGCCGCGAGAAGCCGGCGGCGACGCCGGCUCCAGAGGAAUGGUCGCACAGGCCCGCCCGGGGGCAACCUCGGGGGGGCUGGACAGAACCCGGCUUACAGGCCGCCUGACGCC